RNAcentral lists this ribosomal RNA (164 nucleotides) under uncultured Chlamydiales bacterium. RNAcentral describes it as "partial 16S ribosomal RNA". It matches the Rfam family "Bacterial small subunit ribosomal RNA", at positions 347 to 504 of the family's 1533-position model. The record is from RNAcentral. Lineage: Bacteria; Pseudomonadati; Chlamydiota; Chlamydiia; Chlamydiales.
AGCUGCAGUCGAGAUCUUUCACAAUGGGGGAAACCCUGAUGAAGCGACGCCGUGUGAGUGAAGAAGGCCUUCGGGUUGUAAAGCUCUUUCGCCUGGGAGAAAGAAAGAUGAGCUAAUAUCUCAUCGAUUUGAUAGUACUAGGUAAAGAAGCACCGGCUAACUCC